This is a long non-coding RNA of Macaca fascicularis (crab-eating macaque), 1569 nucleotides long. The record is from Ensembl. NCBI's taxonomy places the organism in Eukaryota, Metazoa, Chordata, Mammalia, Primates, Cercopithecidae.
UUUUUUUUUUUUUGAGACAGGGUGUCGCUCUGUUGCUCACUGGAGUGCAGUGGCGUGAUCUUGGCUCACUGCAGCCUCAACUUCUUGGGCUCAAGCAAUCCUUCUGCCUCAGCCUCCUGAGUAGCUGGGACUACAUCACAUGCCACUAUACCCAGCUAUUUUUAAAUUUUGUUGUAGAGAUGGGGGUUUCACUAUGUUGCCCAGGCUGGUCUUGAGCUCUUGGUCUCAAGCUCAACCACUUUGCCCUCUUAAAGUACUGGGAUUACAGGUGUGAGCCACUGCGCCUGGCCAUGACUUUUUUUAGAUGUUCAAAUUGUCUCAAGAUGAGCCUGCAGGAAGCCCUUCAAGGUGUCUUCUGUAUCCAUUUGACAUGUCCUCAUUGUUCUUUGAGCACUUCCUUUUUUUGGCACAGCAAGAUCUUCCAGAGUACCAUUCCUGCCCCAAUCCUGAAGUCAGGUGUUUCUCCGAGCCCUGGUUCCUUUCAGUGAAGAAUGGUAUUUAGAAACCAAGAUCUGGGAGCUGGGUAUAGUCAUGUUAUUACAGCGUUGCUGCUUCCAGGUCCUCAUGCAUACAUACAUCCACAUCCAUAGGUAUAUCUCUCCACACUUUUUUUUUUCAGUAUUACUACCAUACUGAAUAUAUCUUGAUAUUUUGGGAACCACGAAUUCAUGCCAGUAAUUCCAAUUCCAAACCUAUAAUUCAGGAUUUAUUCUAGUUUCCUCCCUUUUACAUAUUUACAACCCCAUCUCCAACAGAGAGGCACCUCCCAUUGUCCUCAAUCUAUUUCCUUAUUUGAUCAACCCCUCUGCAUAUAACUAAUCUCCUGUCGCUGCGGACAUCAACCCCACUCCCCUCUUUACACAACACACAAGCAUUAUCCUCACCCUGCUUUGCUGAUACGCCCCACCAGGUCACUGUUGCCUCCCACCAUGAACACCUAUGACUGGUCUGAAACCUAGUGGAUUUUAGACUAACUUACGAAUGAAUUAAGAUGAAAGGGACCUGGGGCCUGGUCUUCCUGUUAGUGUGGGUGCGUGUGUUUGAGACAGCAUCUUGCCACGUUGCUUGGGCACCUCCUGAACUCCCAGGCUCAAAUUAUCCUACUGCCUCAGCCUCCCAAGUAGCUGGGAUUACAGGUGUGAGCCACCACACCUGGCCCUAGUGGAUUACUUUGUAAAAAUCCUCUCCUUCCCUUCAAACUUUAUUUCCUUCUAAUGGCCAAGAAGUUGUGUUUGUUUUUAUAAUUCUGUUUAUUUCCUUUAAAUAUUUAAAAAAAAAAAAAAGGUAACCUGUCACCUUAAUCUAUUUGGGUCUAAGGUUUGAAUAGCAAAGAAUACUGUAUUAUCCCAACCUAUUUGGUUUCUAAACUCUGGAUGCCGUGAGUUUGUGUGAAAAUGUACAUUAAUCUAUGUAGUUCCUGAGCUCACAGUGCAAGUAAGGAUAGCAAGGGUUACCCACAUUUAGAAUUACCUUUCAAUGUCAAAAACACCCAUAAUUUCUCCCAAAUAGAAAUGAAACCUUUAGUGUGCUUUUACUAUCUUUCCCUGAAUCACUUUCAAUAUUUCAAAA